UUUAACGGCCGCGGUAUUCUGACCGUGCAAAGGUAGCGCAAUCAAUUGUCUUUUAAAUGAAGACCUGUAUGAAUGGCAUAACGAGGGCUUAACUGUCUCCUCCUUCCAGUCAAUGAAAUUGAUCUUCCCGUGCAGAAGCGGGAAUAAUAACAUAAGAUGAGAAGACCCUAUGGAGCUUAAAACGCAAGAAUAGAUCACAUCACUUACCCUGGGUUAACAGGACAAGACAACUGAGUACUAUUCUAGUGUUUUUGGUUGGGGCGACCGCGGGGUAAAAUAAAACCCCCACGUAGAACGAAAAUACAUUUUUUUAAUUUAAGGGAAACGACCCUAAAAAACAGAAUCUCUGACUUUUUGAUCCGGUUUUACCGAUCAACGAACCGAGUUACCCUAGGGAUAACAGCGCAAUCCUCUUUUAGAGCCCAUAUCGACAAGGGGGUUUACGACCUCGAUGUUGGACCAGGACAUCCUAAU
The sequence is a ribosomal RNA, 474 nucleotides long. It matches the Rfam family "Bacterial large subunit ribosomal RNA", at positions 1923 to 2551 of the family's 2925-position model.